Molecule: ribosomal RNA, 271 nt
Filed under: uncultured archaeon
Lineage: Archaea
Description: partial 16S ribosomal RNA
Rfam family: Archaeal small subunit ribosomal RNA
Source: RNAcentral
CAGCGCCACGAGUGGGAACCACGAUUAUUGGGCCUAAAGCGUCCGUAGCUGGUUUGGUAAGUCUUUUGUGAAAUCGUUGCGCUUAACGUAACGACGUGCAAAAGAGACUGUCAGACUUGGAACCGGGAGGAGUCAGAGGUAUUCCAUGGGGAGCGGUAAAAUGCUAUAAUCCAUGGAGGACCACCUGUGGCGAAGGCGUCUGACCAGAACGGAUUCGACAGUGAGGGACGAAAGCUGAGGGAGCAAUCCGGAUUAGAGACCCGAGUAGUCC